RNAcentral lists this ribosomal RNA (563 nucleotides) under Paenibacillus sp. P3E. RNAcentral's name for it is "bacterial SSU rRNA". It matches the Rfam family "Bacterial small subunit ribosomal RNA", at positions 1 to 553 of the family's 1533-position model. Lineage: Bacteria; Bacillati; Bacillota; Bacilli; Caryophanales; Paenibacillaceae. The record is from RNAcentral.
UUUGGAGAGUUUGAUCCUGGCUCAGGACGAACGCUGGCGGCGUGCCUAAUACAUGCAAGUCGAGCGGAGCUUAUCCUUCGGGAUAAGCUUAGCGGCGGACGGGUGAGUAACACGUAGGCAACCUACCCUCUAGACUGGGAUAACUACCGGAAACGGUAGCUAAUACCGGAUAAUUCCUUCACCCUCAUGGGCGAGGGAUGAAAGGCGGAGCAAUCUGCUACUAGAGGAUGGGCCUGCGGCGCAUUAGCUAGUUGGUGGGGUAAUGGCCUACCAAGGCGACGAUGCGUAGCCGACCUGAGAGGGUGAACGGCCACACUGGGACUGAGACACGGCCCAGACUCCUACGGGAGGCAGCAGUAGGGAAUCUUCCGCAAUGGGCGAAAGCCUGACGGAGCAACGCCGCGUGAGUGAUGAAGGUUUUCGGAUCGUAAAGCUCUGUUGCCAGGGAAGAACGUCCGGUAGAGUAACUGCUACCGGAGUGACGGUACCUGAGAAGAAAGCCCCGGCUAACUACGUGCCAGCAGCCGCGGUAAUACGUAGGGGGCAAGCGUUGUCCGGAAUUA